AUACGUAGGGUGCAAGCGUUAAUCGGAAUUACUGGGCGUAAAGCGUGCGCAGGCGGUUUUGUAAGACAGUGGUGAAAUCCCCGGGCUCAACCUGGGAACUGCCAUUGUGACUGCAAGGCUGGAGUGCGGCAGAGGGGGGUGGAAUUCCGCGUGUAGCAGUGAAAUGCGUAGAUAUGCGGAGGAACACCGAUGGCGAAGGCAAUCCCCUGGGCCUGCACUGACGCGCAUGCGCGAAAGCGUGGGGAGCAAACAGGAUUAGAUACCCUGGUAGUCCACGCCCUAAACGAUGUCAACUGGUUGUUGGGGAUUUAUUUUCUCAGUAACGAAGCUAGCGCGUGAAGUUGACCGCCUGGGGAGUACGGCCGCAAGGUUAAAACUCAAAUGAAUUGACGGGG
Molecule: ribosomal RNA, 395 nt
Filed under: uncultured bacterium
Lineage: Bacteria
Description: partial 16S ribosomal RNA
Rfam family: Bacterial small subunit ribosomal RNA
Source: RNAcentral